UUCAUCCCAGAAACAAGAAAUUAGAACAGUUGAUUAAACUGUGUGAGAUCUCACUAUGGUACUCUCACGAUAUUUCCAAAACGUCUAUGCUUCCUUUAUUUACGGAUUCCUUAUUCUUACAAGUUUGAUCUCAGUAUAUCCAAUGACCAAUACUGGUGAUUUUUUGGAAACUUGCAAUUCGACUCAACCAAAUCAUAUAAAUAACUCAAGGAAUUCAUCUGGUUUACGUAAUCAAAGUGCUAGUUUUUCACUUGGCCAAGAAACAUUAAUAACAACGAUGGUGGUCUCCACAAUUAGUGUCCUAACAAAUGGUCUUCUUAUUGUUGUUAUUGUGAAGGAUCCUUUAAGCAAACUAAGACGAGGACCUUGGAUUACAAUCUUAAGCUUAUCUAUUGCUGAUUUCACUGCAUCUUUGUCCCAAUUCAUGAUUGUUGGAUUGGGUAGAUUGUUCGAGGUCAAACCAUCAGAAGCUGUCAUUUAUUCUGUCCUUUUCUUUUGGAUGUUUGGGGCUGCGGGCUCAUUUUUUCACUUGACAUCACUCACAUGGCAAACUUACAUGAUUGCAAAGUAUCCCAAAUACAAAAAACAAAUGUUAUCUACGAAGAAAAUUUACAUAUUAUGCGCCACAGUUUGGUUGAUUGCCAUUUGCAUGGCAUUUGCUGAAGUCACAUCACUUUACAUAAAAAAAUUUGACCAGCUUAUGUAUAUCUAUAUCACGGUAUAUGCUGUCUUGGAAAUUGCUGUCUUGAUCCAGAUCAUAUUGAAGUGUUUCAUACUUAAGGUUGUACUGCAAAGUCGACAAGACACUAAAGUAAAUGCUAAACAGUACAACACUAAACACUUUGAAAUUGUAAAGGCAAUCAUUGUGCUGAAUGUCUUAUUACUGGUAACUGCAUUUCCUUAUUUUGUCGCCAAACAAGUGGAGUUUUUUCAAAGGGUUGGAAAAAUACAAGGUGAAUUGGCUAAGAGUUUUUCUUACUACUACAAACCAGUUGCCAUGGUGAAUUUCGCUGUCAAUCCAAUUGUGUAUGCACUGACGCUUCCCGUUUAUCGAAACAGUAUGAAGGCGUUGUUUAAAAAGACUAGAAUUGUUUCCAUCAAAAAACCAGGGCAUUUAAUCUUUUCAUUUCGUACUAGUUCUAGUAAACCUGUAUGAUAGAUAAUAUGUUCUAAACUCAAUUUGAUUAAAAAUGUACGAAUAGUGCUAAUAUUUUUAUUGGAAGAAUAAAUUCCAAAGUGACAAACAACUGUGUGGUCAAAAAAAUUAUAACGAUUAUUACUACAAUACUCAUCACUUUUUUGAUUCUACGUAACUUCAAAAGCGAGAGCAAUAAUUGUGAAUACUUUAAUGAGACCAUAAAUUAAGUAAAGCACGUACAUCAGGUACCUGGAAAUAUAGCAGCUUUGCUGAGAUGAAAACCUCGGAAAAAGAAGAAAGAUUUGUUAUUUUCAUCUUGGUAUAUUUGAAAUGCCAGCGAAAAGUACGUAUAGGAAUUUGGGGGAGGGAGUAAGGCCAAUAUAAGCCUCUUGAGAGCUGAAAUUAAAUGUUUCUCUGCACUAUAAUAACAAUGCUACACAAACUAUCCCCCUUCUUCUGGACAAUAUUGCAACAAAAAAGGUGGGGCCAAUUAUCCAAUUAUCAAAAAAAAGUUGGGGUCAAUAUUAUAUUAAUAUUGCAACAAAAAAGGUGGGGCCAAUUAUCGUUUCCACCCGUCUACAGGAAAUGAAUUCUUAAAAUCACUCACGUUUAUGGGAUGUACAUGUGAAUCCACGACAUGCAUGUGGACGUCACGAGGCCAAUUUAAAAAAAAGCGGAUUCAAAAAUAUCGAGAUACGUGUUGACGGGUCAUAAACAUUAUACCGACUGUAUGAACCAUUCAGUCAAUGCCAGUCAUCCCAGAGACAAGAAAUUAGAAGUUAGAACAGUUGAUUAAACUGUGUGAGAUCUCACUAUGGUACUCUCACGAUAUUUCCAAAACGUCUAUCCUUCCUUUAUUUACGGAUUCCUUAUUCUUACAAGUUUGAUCUCAGUAUAUCCAGUGAUCAAUACUGGUGAUUUCUUGGAAACGCGCAAUUCGACUCAACCAAAUCAUAUAAAUAACUCAAGGAAUUCAUCAGGUUUACGCAAUCAAAGUGCUCCCAUGAAGAGUUUUUCACUUGGCCAAGAAACAUUAAUAACAACGAUGGUGGUCUCCACAAUUGGUGUCCUAACAAAUGGUUUUCUUGUUGUUGUUAUUCUUGUAGAUCCGCUUAACAUACUAAAACAAGGAAGGUGGAUUACAAUCUUAAGCUUAUCUAUAGCUGAUUUCACUGCAUCUUUGUCUCAAUUCAUGAUUGUUGGAUUGGGUAGAUUGUUCGAGGUCAAACCAUCAGAAGCUGUCAUUUAUUCUGUCCUUUUCUUUUGGAUGUUUGGGGCUGCGGGCUCAUUUUUUCACUUGACAUCACUCACAUGGCAAACUUACAUGAUUGCAAAGUAUCCCAUACGUAGCCGACAGAUGUUGUCUACCAGAAAAAUAUACAUAUUAUGUGCGACUGUUUGGUCGAUUGCCAUUUGCGUGGCAUUUGGUGAACUCACAUCAAUUUACAGCAAGAAAAUUGAGCAGCUUAUGUACACCUAUAUCACGCUAUAUGCUGUUUUGGAGAUUGCUGUUUUGAUCUUGGUCAUUGGGAAGUGUUUAAUACUUAUAAUAGUAUGGCAAAAUCGACAAAACACGACAGUAAAUGCUAAACAGCACAAUAGAAAACAUCUGGAAAUGGUAAAGACAACUAUCUUGCUAAAUAUCCUAUUGCUGGUAACUGCAUUUCCUUAUUUUGUCGCCAAACAAGUGGAGUUUAUUCAAAGGCUAGGAAAAAUACAAGGUGAAUUGGCUUGGCGUUUUUCUUACUACUACAAACCAGUUGCCAUGGUGAAUUUUGCAGUCAAUCCAAUUGUGUAUGCACUGAGGCUUCCCGAUUAUCGAAACAGUCUGAAGGCGUUGUUUAAAAAGAACAGUUAUAUUUCUACUGAUACAGCACAGCAAUUGACAACCUCGUUCCGUUCUGCUGAUGAAACGAUUGCUUUGUAGAUAAUAUGCAUUGAUUAAUAUGCAUUGAUCAUAUAUAACUUGAUUACAAAUAUAUAUGAUUAUUUUUUUAAUAUAGGUAAUAACAUAAACUUUAGUGGAAUUUGUAGUUAUACUUUUGUGUAAUUUUUAGUGUAAUGUUUGUAUUUGUAGCCAAUUUUGCCUGCAACAAACUAUUUUGAUAACCACAUCAAAACAUAGUACAAUAUCGUAUCUAAUAA
Molecule: RNA transcript, 3283 nt
Organism: Xenia sp. Carnegie-2017
Lineage: Eukaryota; Metazoa; Cnidaria; Anthozoa; Malacalcyonacea; Xeniidae
Gene name: cannabinoid receptor 1-like
Exons: 4
Source: RefSeq, a predicted model, not a curated record